Molecule: ribosomal RNA, 1516 nt
Filed under: metagenome
Description: bacterial SSU rRNA
Rfam family: Bacterial small subunit ribosomal RNA
Source: RNAcentral
AGAGUUUGAUCCUGGCUCAGAACGAACGCUGGCGGCAUGGCUAAAACAUGCAAGUCGAACGCGAAAGUUUCCUUCGAGAGACGAGUAGAGUGGCGAAAGGGCGAGUAAUGCAUGGGUAACGUACCCUAAGCACGAGGAUAGCCGCGGGAAACUGCGGAUAAUACUCGAUGAGACCACGGUGUCAUAUGGCACAGCGGUCAAAGGGUGGGGAUCUCUUCGGAGACCUGCCGGCUUAGGAGCGGCCCAUGUCCUAUCAGCUUGUUGGUGUGGUAACGGCUCACCAAGGCAAUGACGGGUAGCGGGACUGAGAGGUUGACCCGCCGCAUUGGGACUGAGACACUGCCCAGACUCCUACGGGAGGCUGCAGUAACGAAUAUUGGACAAUGAACGAAAGUUUGAUCCAGCAAUGCCGCGUGUGGGACGAAGCUCUUCGGGGUGUAAACCACUGUCCGGGACUACCAAGCAAAGAAGGCCAAUACCCUUCUGCGUUGAGGCGUCCCGAAGAAAGUCACGGCUAACUUCGUGCCAGCAGCCGCGGUAAGACGAAGGUGGCUAGCGUUGUUCGGAAUCACUGGGCUUAAAGAGCACGUAGGCGGCUUAUCAAGCGUCAUGUGAAAUCCCUCGGCUCAACCGAGGAAUUGCAUGGCGAACUGAUAGGCUUGAGGCAGGCAGGGGCAAGUGGAACUCUUGGUGGAGCGGUGGAAUGCGUAGAUAUCAAGAGGAACGCCAGAGGCGAAGGCGACUUGCUGGGCCUGACCUGACGCUCAGGUGCGAAAGCUAGGGGAGCGAACGGGAUUAGAUACCCCGGUAGUCCUAGCUGUAAACGAUGUCAACUAGAUCGAUGGUUCUCUGACGUUCUGUCGGUCGAAAUAAAAACGUUAAGUUGACCGCCUGGGGAGUACGGUCGCAAGGCUAAAACUCAAAGGAAUUGACGGGGGCUCACACAAGCGGUGGAGCAUGUUGCUUAAUUCGAUACAACGCGAAGAACCUUAUCCUGGGCUUGACAUGUUAGGAUGCCCAUCUGGAAACAGAGUAGGCUGCCCUUCGGGGUGAAACUUUCACAGGUGCUGCAUGGCUGUCGUCAGCUCGUGUCGUGAGAUGUUGGGUUAAGUCCCGUAACGAGCGAAACCCUUGUCGCUAGUUGCAAGCGCGUUAUGGCGGGGACUCUAGCGAGACUGCCGGUGUUAAACCGGAGGAAGGUGGGGAUGACGUCAAGCCCUCAUGGCCUUUAUGCCCAGGGCUGCAAACGUGCUACAAUGGCAGAUACAAACCGACGCAAGACCGCGAGGUGGAGCAAAUCGGAAAAAGUCUGCCCCAGUUCGGAUUGUAGUCUGCAACUCGACUACAUGAAGUUGGAAUCGCUAGUAAUCGUAGAUCAGCUAUGCUACGGUGAAUGUGUUCCUGAGCCUUGUACACACCGCCCGUCAAGUCAUGGAAGCUGGUAGCGCCCGAAGUCGGCCCAAUUCAGGGUCGCCGAAGGUGAGAUCGGUGACUGGGACUAAGUCGUAACAAGGUA